AUAUCAUCCAAUGAUAAGGGUUGAAUGGAGAUAAUUCAGUAAUAUUUAGUCAGUGGUCAAUGUUUAUAAGCAGUAAGUGGGAAACAUGGAAUUUAUCAUGUUAGUCUCUAAAUGAAGGAAAAAUUGCCCCUGUCUGGAGAAUUCAGAAAAGUCUCCAUGGAGAAGACAAUAUUUUUUAUGGGCUUAAAUGGAUUCAGAAGAUGGAGAGGAAAAAAGUGGGAAUAUUAAGAUGGAAAAAAUUUCCACACAGAUGGAGGUACAGAAAAGAGUGAAUCAUGUCUAAGAGUUGACAGUUGACUCAGCUUGGUUAGAUCACAAGAAUCUGAAUACAAAGUGAAGAGGAGAAUUUUUGUGGAGAUGAAAGUGAGAACUUCCUCCUGAGCAAUGCUGACAGCUUCCUCUAUACCACCACUGUCCCUGUCUCCAUCUCUCCUGUGGCAUUGCCCCAGGAAUUGCUUGGCCCCCGUGUCCUCUGUAUCAUCUGUCUCAACACGCAUGUCUACAUCUGGAGUCUACUGA
This 519-nucleotide long non-coding RNA is filed under the name Felis catus (domestic cat). Its description in RNAcentral is "lncRNA (ENSFCAG00000053798.1)". The record is from RNAcentral. Lineage: Eukaryota; Metazoa; Chordata; Mammalia; Carnivora; Felidae.